CCUACGGGAGGCUGCAGUGAGGAAUAUUGGUCAAUGGCCGUAAGGCUGAACCAGCCAAGUAGCGUGAGGGAAGACUGCCCUAUGGGUUGUAAACCUCUUCUAUGCGGGGAUAAAGGUGUCCACGUGUGGAUGUUUGCAGGUACCGCAUGAAUAAGGACCGGCUAAUUCCGUGCCAGCAGCCGCGGUAAUACGGAAGGUCCGGGCGUUAUCCGGAUUUAUUGGGUUUAAAGGGAGCGUAGGCCGGUCUUUAAGCGUGCCGUGAAAUUUUGUGGCUCAACCAUGGGAGUGCGGCGCGAACUGGAGUCCUGGAGUGCGCGGAAGGCAGGCGGAAUGCGUGGUGUAGCGGUGAAAUGCUUAGAUAUCACGAAGAACCCCGAUUGCGAAGGCAGCUUGCCGGAGCGUUACUGACGCUGAAGCUCGAAAGCGCGGGUAUCGAACAGGAUUAGAUACCCGUGUAGUC
Molecule: ribosomal RNA, 460 nt
Filed under: uncultured bacterium
Lineage: Bacteria
Description: partial 16S ribosomal RNA
Rfam family: Bacterial small subunit ribosomal RNA
Source: RNAcentral